Molecule: microRNA precursor, 83 nt
Filed under: Cavia aperea (Brazilian guinea pig)
Lineage: Eukaryota; Metazoa; Chordata; Mammalia; Rodentia; Caviidae
Description: miRNA (ENSCAPG00000003841.1)
Source: RNAcentral
UCUCUUGCUUAUACAUAAAUUGAGCCAAGCAUGAUAGUACAGACCUGUAAUCUCAGUACUCUGGGAGGCUGAGGCAGGAGGAU